AUUGAACGCUGGCGGCAGACCUCAUACAUGCAAGUCGAACGAGAAAGUAUCUUCGGAUACAAGUAAAGUGGCGGACGGGUGAGUAAUACAUAGGAAUCUACCCAAUGGAGGGGGAUAGCUCGAGGAAACUCGAAUUAAUACCGCAUAAUCUCUAUGGAGCAAAGGGGGGCUUCGGCUCCUGCCAAUGGAUGAGCCUAUGCAAGAUUAGCUUGUUGGUAAGGUAAUGGCUUACCAAGGCAACGAUCUUUAGCUGGUUUGAGAGGAUGACCAGCCACAUCGGGACUGAGACACGGCCCGGACUUCUACGGAAGGCAGCAGUAGGGAAUAUUGGACAAUGAGCGCAAGCUUGAUCCAGUCAUGCCGCGUGUGCGAUGACGGCCUUAGGGUUGUAAAGCACUUUAGGUAACGAGGAAAAGUUAGGUGUUAAUACCAUCUAACCCUUGACG
Molecule: ribosomal RNA, 446 nt
Filed under: uncultured SAR86 cluster bacterium
Lineage: Bacteria; Pseudomonadati; Pseudomonadota; Gammaproteobacteria
Description: bacterial SSU rRNA
Rfam family: Bacterial small subunit ribosomal RNA
Source: RNAcentral